Molecule: unclassified non-coding RNA, 328 nt
Filed under: uncultured fungus
Lineage: Eukaryota; Fungi
Description: partial contains 5.8S ribosomal RNA and internal transcribed spacer 2
Rfam family: 5.8S ribosomal RNA (bases 1-133)
Source: RNAcentral
UGGUUCUGGCAUCGAUGAAGAACGCAGCGAAAUGCGAUAAGUAAUGUGAAUUGCAGAAUUCAGUGAAUCAUCGAAUCUUUGAACGCACAUUGCGCCCAUUAGUAUUCUAGUGGGCAUGCCUGUUCGAGCGUCAUUAAAUCCCUUAAGCCCCAGGCUUAGUGUUGGGAGACCGCUGUGCCAGCCGCGGCGGUUCCCUAAAUUCAGCGGCGGAGUCGCGGUUUGCUCUGAGCUUAGUGAUUAUUCUAGCUUUUGGGUCCGCUGCAGCUCCCUGCCGUAAAACCCCCAACUUCUUUUGGUUGACCUCGGAUCAGGUAGGAAUACCCGCUGA